UAUUAGAUGUCUGAAAAAAGUAAUGGUCUUUUAAGCCAAUUCAUAGUAAAAUUAUAAUUACUUCUAGUAA
RNAcentral lists this transfer RNA (70 nucleotides) under Dahlica ochrostigma. RNAcentral's name for it is "tRNA-Lys". The record is from RNAcentral. Lineage: Eukaryota; Metazoa; Arthropoda; Insecta; Lepidoptera; Psychidae.